CGCUGGCGGCGUGCCUAAUACAUGCAAGUCGAGCGAACGGACGAGAAGCUUGCUUCUCUGAUGUUAGCGGCGGACGGGUGAGUAACACGUGGAUAACCUACCUAUAAGACUGGGAUAACUUCGGGAAACCGUAGCUAAUACCGGAUAAUAUUUUGAACCGCGUGGUUCAAAAGUGAAAGACGGUCUUGCUGUCACUUAUAGAUGGAUCCGCGCUGCAUUAGCUAGUUGGUAAGGUAACGGCUUACCAAGGCAACGAUGCAUAGCCGACCUGAGAGGGUGAUCGGCCACACUGGAACUGAGACACGGUCCAGACUCCUACGGGAGGCAGCAGUAGGGAAUCUUCCGCAAUGGGCGAAAGCCUGACGGAGCAACGCCGCGUGAGUGAUGAAGGUCUUCGGAUCGUAAAACUCUGUUAUUAGGGAAGAACAUAUGUGUAAGUAACUGUGCACAUCUUGACGGUACCUAAUCAGAAAGCCACGGCUAACUACGUGCCAGCAGCCGCGGUAAUACGUAGGUGGCAAGCGUUAUCCGGAAUUAUUGGGCGUAAAGCGCGCGUAGGCGGUUUUUUAAGUCUGAUGUGAAAGCCCACGGCUCAACCGUGGAGGGUCAUUGGAAACUGGAAAACUUGAGUGCAGAAGAGGAAAGUGGAAUUCCAUGUGUAGCGGUGAAAUGCGCAGAGAUAUGGAGGAACACCAGUGGCGAAGGCGACUUUCUGGUCUGUAACUGACGCUGAUGUGCGAAAGCGUGGGGAUCAAACAGGAUUAGAUACCCUGGUAGUCCACGCCGUAACGAUGAGUGCUAAGUGUUAGGGGUUUCCGCCCCUUAGUGCUG
RNAcentral lists this ribosomal RNA (831 nucleotides) under uncultured Staphylococcus sp. RNAcentral's name for it is "bacterial SSU rRNA". It matches the Rfam family "Bacterial small subunit ribosomal RNA", at positions 34 to 848 of the family's 1533-position model. Lineage: Bacteria; Bacillati; Bacillota; Bacilli; Caryophanales; Staphylococcaceae. The record is from RNAcentral.